Molecule: ribosomal RNA, 399 nt
Filed under: uncultured bacterium
Lineage: Bacteria
Description: bacterial SSU rRNA
Rfam family: Bacterial small subunit ribosomal RNA
Source: RNAcentral
GGAAUAUUGCACAAUGGGGGAAACCCUGAUGCAGCGACGCCGCGUGAAGGAAGAAGUAUUUCGGUAUGUAAACUUCUAUCAGCAGGGAAGAAAAUGACGGUACCUGAGUAAGAAGCACCGGCUAAAUACGUGCCAGCAGCCGCGGUAAUACGUAUGGUGCAAGCGUUAUCCGGAUUUACUGGGUGUAAAGGGAGCGUAGACGGCCAGACAAGUCUGAAGUGAAAAUCCAGCGCUUAACGUUGGAAGUGCUUUGGAAACUGCCGGGCUAGAGUGCAGGAGGGGCAGGCGGAAUUCCUAGUGUAGCGGUGAAAUGCGGAGAUAUUAGGAGGAACACCAGUGGCGAAGGCGGCCUGCUGGACUGCAACUGACGUUGAGGCUCGAAGGCGUGGGGAGCAAACA